GUUAUUGUAGCUUAUCGCAAAGCAUGGCACUGAAGUUGCCAAGAUGGGUAACCAAUAUACCCCCAAAAAACA
This 72-nucleotide transfer RNA is filed under the name Mauremys reevesii (Reeves's turtle). Its description in RNAcentral is "tRNA-Phe". It matches the Rfam family "tRNA". Rfam says of the family: Transfer RNA (tRNA) molecules are approximately 80 nucleotides in length. Their secondary structure includes four short double-helical elements and three loops (D, anti-codon, and T loops). Further hydrogen bonds mediate the characteristic L-shaped molecular structure. tRNAs have two regions of fundamental functional importance: the anti-codon, which is responsible for specific mRNA codon recognition, and the 3' end, to which the tRNAs corresponding amino acid is attached (by aminoacyl-tRNA synthetases). tRNAs cope with the degeneracy of the genetic code in two manners: having more than one tRNA (with a specific anti-codon) for a particular amino acid; and 'wobble' base-pairing, i.e. permitting non-standard base-pairing at the 3rd anti-codon position. The record is from RNAcentral. Lineage: Eukaryota; Metazoa; Chordata; Testudines; Geoemydidae.